GGAGGGCGCUCUGGGGCUGGAGCCGACACUGGAGGGCGCUCUGGGGCUGGAGCCGACACUGGAGGGCGCUCUGGGGCUGGAGCCGACACUGCAGCAGAGGUCUUCCUCUUUAACCUCCGCUUUUGAGUGCGGGUCAGCCCUUGCGGGCUGGACAUGUGUUGGGAGGGCAACAGAGAGCUGGGAUUGGGAUGUUCGCCAUAAGCAGCCUGAUGAACCAAAUGCUCCACAAACUGAUGGUAAGAUAGCCCUCCCAAUUUCAGCAUCUGCUGGAUAUUGAGGGGCUUGUCGAGGGCAUAGUUAAGGAGGUUCACCAGGGCUUGAUCAUUAAACCCCAGCCCCUCUGCUGCCACACAAAAUUUAGCCGCAAAACUUUCCACCUUCAUGCCACGUUGCCGCAGCGACUGCAGACUGAUGAGCUGCAGUAUGCGGCUGGAGAAGGGGCUGUCUUCACUCUGCUGGGUCCUCAUCUUUGGCGAGUUCGUACUGUCACGUUCCGGUAAAGGGAAAAAGGAGCAAGGACCCAAGCGCAGAGUGAAGUAGGAUUUAUUAAUUAAAAAA
Molecule: non-coding RNA, 558 nt
Organism: Danio rerio (zebrafish)
Lineage: Eukaryota; Metazoa; Chordata; Actinopteri; Cypriniformes; Danionidae
Source: RefSeq, a predicted model, not a curated record